RNAcentral lists this ribosomal RNA (475 nucleotides) under Ophiomorus punctatissimus. RNAcentral's name for it is "partial 16S ribosomal RNA". It matches the Rfam family "Bacterial large subunit ribosomal RNA", at positions 1848 to 2559 of the family's 2925-position model. Lineage: Eukaryota; Metazoa; Chordata; Lepidosauria; Squamata; Scincidae. The record is from RNAcentral.
AAAGGUCCCGCCUGCCCAGUGAUAUAUUUUAAACGGCCGCGGUAUUCUAACCGUGCAAAGGUAGCGUAAUCACUUGUCUUCUAAAUAAAGACCAGUAUGAACGGCUAAAUGAGGACAGAUCUGUCUCUUACAACUAAUCAGUGAAACUGAUCUUUCAGUACAAAAGCUGUAAUGACAACAUAAGACGAGAAGACCCUGUGGAGCUUUAAACCCACUAUAAAUAAAACUAUAAACUGUUUUCAAACUAAUAAAAAGUUUUGAGUUGGGGCGACUUCGGAAUAAAACAAAACUUCCGAGCACAGAACCACUAAUUCUUACCAAGGCCAACAAGCCAAAGUGUAAAAGAACAGACCCAGUCACACUGAUCAACGAACCAAGUUACCCCAGGGAUAACAGCGCUAUCUUCUUCAAGAGUUCAUAUCGACAAGAAGGUUUACGACCUCGAUGUUGGAUCAGGACACCCAAAUGGUGCAGC